GAUGAACGCUGGCGGCGUGCCUAAUACAUGCAAGUCGAGCGAACAGACGAGGAGCUUGCUCCUCUGACGUUAGCGGCGGACGGGUGAGUAACACGUGGAUAACCUACCUAUAAGACUGGGAUAACUUCGGGAAACCGGAGCUAAUACCGGAUAAUAUAUUGAACCGCAUGGUUCAAUAGUGAAAGACGGUUUUGCUGUCACUUAUAGAUGGAUCCGCUCCGCAUUAGCUAGUUGGUAAGGUAACGGCUUACCAAGGCAACGAUGCGUAGCCGACCUGAGAGGGUGAUCGGCCACACUGGAACUGAGACACGGUCCAGACUCCUACGGGAGGCAGCAGUAGGGAAUCUUCCGCAAUGGGCGAAAGCUUGACGGAGCAACGCCGCGUGAGUGAUGAAGGUCUUCGGAUCGUAAAACUCUGUUAUUAGGGAAGAACAAAUGUGUAAGUAACUAUGCACGUCUUGACGGUACCUAAUCAGAAAGCCACGGCUAACUACGU
This 496-nucleotide ribosomal RNA is filed under the name uncultured bacterium. Its description in RNAcentral is "partial 16S ribosomal RNA". It matches the Rfam family "Bacterial small subunit ribosomal RNA", at positions 28 to 506 of the family's 1533-position model. The record is from RNAcentral.